UUUUCUUUCAAGAAGGAAAACAUUAACUACAUACAUAUUCUCCGACCAUUCAAUACACAUCGUCCAUGAUAACUUCAAAAAAUUGCCACACGUUAUCUUAAAUAAGGUAUUCAUCUGGAAAACAAAUUUGGAGCCAAUAGAGCGAAACUGAACAUGCAAGCAAGAGAACAAUACACAUAUUGUUAGUACAUAAUCUGAUUUCUUAAGUGGGCUCACUAUAUGCCCAAACAAAAUAUUACCAAAGCAACAUGCAAGAAAUAGUUUUUCUCAUACUGAUCAAGUCCCUCUUAACUCAGUCCGCACUAUUAUCAUUCUUGCCAACCAUCGCCCUCUUUUUCUAUGAUAGAAAAAGAUACUCUCAUAAGUAUCAUUGUUUUUUUUUUGCAGGUGAGAAAUAUCAUUAUUUAUGGGAGAAAAUAUCUUCACAUGCAUUUGCGUGUGUAAGCAAAACAUCAAUCAACAACCAUACCUUCGACUAUGAAAUUUAGUCAAUUCUGGAUGCGCACUUCAUAUCCCCAUCAUAAAGCUAGUGUCACAGUACCUGAAAGACAUGAAAUAUGCAUGUUAUGAUUAGAGAAUCGACUCGACUUGCUCCAGGCAUAAAACUAAUAUGAAAAUUGUUAACUUCCAGAAAAUGGACUUAAAAUGUGAGAAGUCAAUAAAUACAACAUGAUUUGAGAAGGGGCAGUUGGCUGUUGAUAUGGCUGCAUGAAUAUUUCUUUUCUUGAUUUACAACACCAUGGACGAAGGAGAAAUUUGAUGUACAUCAGCAUAUACUGUGAAUAUUUCCAUGCAUAUGUUGUUGAUUCCUUGAUAUAAAGAAAAUAAUAGGUGGCAUUAGUGACAAAGAUGUCAGUGGAUACAAAAGAUAUAAAUGGUGUGUGUAAUAAGUUGUUACCAAGGACAUACAGCUUUUCAAAUUUGGGUAGCAAAUCGAUAGGCAGCAUACGUACCAAAUUUUGCAGGAUAGUUGUGGACACCACAAUUCAAGCGGAAGGAAUCCUAUAUGACAAUGAAGUAGAGAACCGUUGUCACACUAACAUAGUAGCAUGUGACAAUAAAAGAAACAAACAAUAAACUGAAACGGUUGACAAAAAUCUAGUCUAUGUGUUGAACACGUUAAUAUGAUUACCCAUGAAAAAGAGGAACACAUGUUCAUAUAAAUAAACAUGCCAACUUAUAAUUCCAAGUUUAAAUAUAUCUGGAAAUUACUUGUCUCUGUAGAAUUGGUUGAAAGGUUGAAGUAUUUAUCCUUAACAAACAGCCUGUGUAAAAACUUCACCCACCUUUUUUAGCAUGACAUUUUAGCAAAUAAUUGAUGUGCUUGCCAGCAAGCAAGACCCUGAAAAUCAAAAAGUCCACUUGGCAUCUUUUACCAAUCUGACGGAUGCUUAGACAAUCUGAAGUUAAUAGAUGAAUAAAUAAAUUGUAUUACAGGGGGACUUCAACAUGGAGAAUCUGAAGAAUUAGCCAACCGCAAGUCUAAACGAGAUAUGACGGAAUCUCAAGACCUGCAUGUUUUCACUCUAUCCAACGGGGAUUCAGAUUUGCAGGAGCAUGUGUUAAAUCAAUCAAAAUAUGGUACUGUACGUCAGUUCGUGG
RNAcentral lists this long non-coding RNA (1602 nucleotides) under Triticum aestivum (bread wheat). RNAcentral's name for it is "long non-coding RNA (TAES_LNC001546)". The record is from RNAcentral. Lineage: Eukaryota; Viridiplantae; Streptophyta; Magnoliopsida; Poales; Poaceae.